This 381-nucleotide ribosomal RNA is filed under the name uncultured Sebacinaceae. RNAcentral describes it as "eukaryotic LSU rRNA". It matches the Rfam family "Eukaryotic large subunit ribosomal RNA", at positions 1 to 376 of the family's 3401-position model. The record is from RNAcentral. Lineage: Eukaryota; Fungi; Basidiomycota; Agaricomycetes; Sebacinales; Sebacinaceae.
UUGACCUCAAAUCGAGUAGGACUACCCGCUGAACUUAAGCAUAUCAAUAAGCGGAGGAAAAGAAACUAACAAGGAUUCCCCUAGUAACGGCGAGUGAAGAGGGAAGAGCUCAAAUUUUGAAUCUGGCGUCUUUGGCGUCCGAAUUGUAAUCUAGAGAAGUGUUUUCCGUGACGGACCGUGCAUAAGUCUCCUGGAAUGGAGCGUCAUGGAGGGUGAGAAUCCCGUAUAUGGCACGGACUCCCGUUGCUCUGUGAUACACUCUCGACGAGUCGAGUUGUUUGGGAAUGCAGCUCUAAACGGGUGGUAAAUGCCAUCUAAAGCUAAAUAUUGGCGAGAGACCGAUAGCGAACAAGUACCGUGAGGGAAAGAUGAAAAGCACUU